AAGUCGUAACAAGGUUUCCGUAGGUGAACCUGCGGAAGGAUCAUUAACACUUUUUUGUUGAUUGUUGGUUUUUUUUACAAAAACCGACAACCACAAUUUAUCCUAUCCAAACUGAAGAGCUUGUGAGCAGUGUGCUUUUUUGUUUCAAGAAAGCUGGCUCCCAUUUUCUCACUUUUUCCUUUUUCACUUUUAAACAAAAACCCCAAUCACACAAAUCUAAUUCAUUUGUGAGAUUGCAAACAAUCAAUUUGCUAUCUUGACAAUCUAAAAAACAACUAUUAAGAGAUUUACAUCUCAAAAUGUAACCAAACAACUCUUAACAACGGAUAUCUUGGCUCUC
Molecule: unclassified non-coding RNA, 340 nt
Filed under: fungal sp.
Lineage: Eukaryota; Fungi
Description: partial internal transcribed spacer region
Rfam family: Eukaryotic small subunit ribosomal RNA (bases 1-46)
Source: RNAcentral